GUCGGAAGCAAAGUUGUUUGUUGCAACAAAACAUCGCUUAUGCCACGAAGACAAUUUUUUUAUUAGUUACUGCAAAGAGAAGUUAAGAACAUAAAUAUGGAUCUAGAAGGCACAUAUUGCUAAUGCUGAAUUACAGGUUGCUUCAACAUUCACAAAAUAGAGAAGUUGGGAAUUGCAUAUACAAGUUCAAUUGCUGCUAGAGUGCCAUAAGGUUUUUGCUGCCAGUGGUAUGC
This 233-nucleotide unclassified non-coding RNA is filed under the name Hevea brasiliensis (rubber tree). Lineage: Eukaryota; Viridiplantae; Streptophyta; Magnoliopsida; Malpighiales; Euphorbiaceae. The record is from RNAcentral.